GAUGAACGCUGGCGGCGUGCCUAAUACAUGCAAGUCGAGCGAACAGACGAGGAGCUUGCUCCUCUGACGUUAGCGGCGGACGGGUGAGUAACACGUGGAUAACCUACCUAUAAGACUGGGAUAACUUCGGGAAACCGGAGCUAAUACCGGAUAAUAUAUUGAACCGCAUGGUUCAAUAGUGAAAGACGGUUUUGCUGUCACUUAUAGAUGGAUCCGCGCCGCAUUAGCUAGUUGGUAAGGUAACGGCUUACCAAGGCGACGAUUCGUAGCCGACCUGAGAGGGUGAUCGGCCACACUGGAACUGAGACACGGUCCAGACUCCUACGGGAGGCAGCAGUAGGGAAUCUUCCGCCAUGGGCGAAAGCCUGACGGAGCAACGCCGCGUGAGUGAUGAAGGUCUUCGGAUCGUAAAACUCUGUUAUUAGGGAAGAACAAAUGUGUAAGUAACUAUGCACGUCUUGACGGUACCUAAUCAGAAAGCCACGGCUAACUACGUG
Molecule: ribosomal RNA, 497 nt
Filed under: uncultured bacterium
Lineage: Bacteria
Description: partial 16S ribosomal RNA
Rfam family: Bacterial small subunit ribosomal RNA
Source: RNAcentral